This 61-nucleotide small RNA is filed under the name uncultured Ferdinandcohnia sp. RNAcentral's name for it is "Bacillaceae-1 RNA". It matches the Rfam family "Bacillaceae-1 RNA", at positions 3 to 62 of the family's 67-position model. Lineage: Bacteria; Bacillati; Bacillota; Bacilli; Caryophanales; Bacillaceae. The record is from RNAcentral.
AAGAGGAACAUCGGCUAACUACCGCCACGUUCUGUGGCGAACGUCGAUGUCAGCACUUCCU